GUAUAUAACCCAUUAAAAGAUGACAUUCUUUUAAAAGUGCUAAUAUUAAAAAAAUAAAAGUUUGGCCUAUAUGUUGAAACAUGGGCUUAAAGUAUUAAAUAUUGGGCUUACAUAAUAGUGAUAUAAUAUUUACAGUAGAAAAAUAAAACCCUAUACUGUAGAGAAGAUCGUUGGAGCCAUUUUCCUGGAGAAGAUUCUCAAAGCUUUCACUGCUCCUUCGUUCCGGCGGCGGAGAUUGCUCUACACUUUCGAUCAUCUUUUUUCUCCUCCACCAUUGUUCCUUGCUGGAAUGAUUUUUGAAAGAAAUUCAUGGCAGCCAAUCCUUACUUUGGAAAGGCAGUGACGAGGGUGAGUACAAGGACAAGAAGAAGAAAUAUAUGUUGUUUGACAAUGAAUUUAGUGUUUUAUUAUAUUUGUAAUUUUUAUUAGAGUAAAUGGUUCUUGUUUGAAUGGUUAAUUAUGUACUUUGUAAAUCUAGUUAUAUAUUUUUUAAGGUCAAGACGAUUAUACUUUUAAUAAGUUUUGUUAUUUUAA
Molecule: long non-coding RNA, 534 nt
Organism: Humulus lupulus (European hop)
Lineage: Eukaryota; Viridiplantae; Streptophyta; Magnoliopsida; Rosales; Cannabaceae
Exons: 2
Source: RefSeq, a predicted model, not a curated record